GGCGCGGUUGGCGCAGGCGCAGGAGGCGCUCGAGGCCGGCGACAUCGGUGAGGCGUACCGGUGGUUCAACCACUCCAUGCUC
RNAcentral lists this transfer RNA (82 nucleotides) under Mycolicibacterium fortuitum. Its description in RNAcentral is "tRNA-Ala(ggc)". The record is from RNAcentral. RNAcentral also lists the same sequence under 1 other name. Lineage: Bacteria; Bacillati; Actinomycetota; Actinomycetes; Mycobacteriales; Mycobacteriaceae.